RNAcentral lists this ribosomal RNA (222 nucleotides) under uncultured bacterium. Its description in RNAcentral is "partial 16S ribosomal RNA". It matches the Rfam family "Bacterial small subunit ribosomal RNA", at positions 524 to 743 of the family's 1533-position model. The record is from RNAcentral.
UACGUAGGGGGCAAGCGUUGUCCGGAUUUACUGGGCGUAAAGAGCGUGUAGGCGGCCAAGCAGGUCCGUUGUGAAAACUGGAGGCUUAACCUCCAGACGUCGACGGAAACCGCGCGGCUAGAGUCCGGAAGAGGAGAGUGGAAUUCCUGGUGUAGCGGUGAAAUGCGCAGAAUAUCAGGAAGAACACCAAUGGCGAAGGCAGCUCUCUGGGAACGGUACUGA